AGGGCACCACCAGGAGUGGAGCCUGCGGCUUAAUUUGACCCAACACGGGAAAACUCACCCGGCCCGGACACUGGAAGGAUUGACAGAUUGAGAGCUCUUUCUUGAUUCAGUGGGUGGUGGUGCAUGGCCGUUCUUAGUUGGUGGAGUGAUUUGUCUGGUUAAUUCCGAUAACGAACGAGACCUUAUCCUACUAAAUAUGUGGUCAAGUUUACAAACACUUGAUCUCACUUCUUAGAGGGACAGGCGGUGAUUCAACCGCACGAAACAAGGCAAUAACAGGUCUGUGAUGCCCUUAGAUGUCCGGGGCCGCACGCGCGCUACACUGAAGUGAUCAGCGUGCUUUGCUAUGCCUACUCUGACAAGAGUGGGAAACCCCAUGAACCUUCUUCGUGAUUGGGAUAGGAGAUUGUAAUUAUUCUCCUUGAACGAGGAAUUCCCAGUAAGCGCGAGUCAUAAGCUCGCGUUGAUUACGUCCCUGCCCUUUGUACACACCGCCCGUCGCUACUACCGAUUGAAUGU
Molecule: ribosomal RNA, 519 nt
Filed under: uncultured eukaryote
Lineage: Eukaryota
Description: SSU rRNA
Rfam family: Eukaryotic small subunit ribosomal RNA
Source: RNAcentral